GACGAACGCUGGCGGUGUGCUUAACACAUGCAAGUCGAACGGUAAGGCCCUUUCGGGGGUACACGAGUGGCGAACGGGUGAGUAACACGUGAGUAACCUGCCCUCAUCUCUGGGAUAACAGUCGGAAACGGUUGCUAAUACUGGAUAUGAGCUUGCAAGGCAUCUUGUGGGUUGGAAAGAUUUUUUUGGUUGGGGAUGGACUCGCGGCCUAUCAGCUUGUUGGUGAGGUAGUGGCUCACCAAGGCUUCGACGGGUAGCCGGCCUGAGAGGGCGACCGGCCACAUUGGGACUGAGAUACGGCCCAAACUCCUACGGGAGGCAGCAGUGGGGAAUAUUGCACAAUGGACGGAAGUCUGAUGCAGCAACGCCGCGUGCGGGAUGACGGCCUUCGGGCUGUAAACCGCUUUCAAUUGUGACGAAGCUUUUCGUGACGGUAGCAGUAGAAGAAGCACCGGCUAACUACGUG
RNAcentral lists this ribosomal RNA (466 nucleotides) under uncultured bacterium. Its description in RNAcentral is "partial 16S ribosomal RNA". It matches the Rfam family "Bacterial small subunit ribosomal RNA", at positions 28 to 507 of the family's 1533-position model. The record is from RNAcentral.